CAGUGGGGAAUAUUGCACAAUGGGCGCAAGCCUGAUGCAGCCAUGCCGCGUGUAUGAAGAAGGCCUUCGGGUUGUAAAGUACUUUCAGCAGUGAGGAAGUGGGUAUGUUAAUAGCAUACUCAUUUGACGUUAGCUGCAGAAGAAGCACCGGCUAACUCCGUGCCAGCAGCCGCGGUAAUACGGAGGGUGCGAGCGUUAAUCGGAAUUACUGGGCGUAAAGCGCAUGCAGGUGGUUUGUUAAGUCAGAUGUGAAAGCCCGGGGCUCAACCUCGGAAUUGCAUUUGAAACUGGCAAACUAGAGUACUGUAGAGGGGGUAGAAUUUCAGGUGUAGCGGUGAAAUGCGUAGAGAUCUGAAGGAAUACCGGUGGCGAAGGCGGCCCCCUGGACAGAUACUGACACUCAGAUGCGAAAGCGUGGGGAGCAAACAGGAUUAGAUACCCUGGUAG
RNAcentral lists this ribosomal RNA (447 nucleotides) under uncultured bacterium. RNAcentral's name for it is "bacterial SSU rRNA". It matches the Rfam family "Bacterial small subunit ribosomal RNA", at positions 352 to 793 of the family's 1533-position model. The record is from RNAcentral.